CCCUUAGAUGUCCGGGGCCGCACGCGCGCUACACUGAAGGAAUCAGCGUGGCUUUCUCCCUGACCCGAAAGGGUUGGGAAACCCGUUGAAUCUCCUUCGUGAUAGGGAUUGGGGCUUGAAAUUGUUCCCCAUGAACGAGGAAUUCCCAGUAAGCGCGAGUCAUCAGCUCACGUUGAUUACGUCCCUGCCCUUUGUACACACCGCCCGUCGCUCCUACCGAUUGAAUGUGCCAGUGAAAAGUUCGGAUUGGAGAUAGGAGACGGCAACGUAUCCUAUUUCCGAGAAAAUCUUUAAACUUUCCCAUUUAGAGGAAGGAGAAGUCGUAACA
Molecule: ribosomal RNA, 328 nt
Filed under: uncultured eukaryote
Lineage: Eukaryota
Description: partial 18S ribosomal RNA
Rfam family: Eukaryotic small subunit ribosomal RNA
Source: RNAcentral